AUGUUUCAGAAAGGUCGCCUUGAUGUUUUGAACAUACGGCCAGGUCAUCCUAUGAAUCACUCCUGUCCAUAUCGGAUUUCUAAAACCGAUGAAGACAUGACAAUCAAAGAUUGGAAAAAAUGUAUGGUCAAUCAUAGGGAGCUACUUGGAAGCAACAUUGUGCGAAGGGCAAGAAUUGGUGACAGGAUAAUCUCCAUUCUCCAUAAUGAAGAGUCAGGGCCUAUCUUAUUUAUGCUAUUUUACCUAAAAGAAGGUAGUAGGUCCUAUGAGAGAGAAGUAGGUCCUAGGUACAAUGUGUUAUUAUGUGGUACAAUGUGUUAG
RNAcentral lists this ribosomal RNA (321 nucleotides) under Triticum aestivum (bread wheat). RNAcentral describes it as "partial small subunit ribosomal RNA". Lineage: Eukaryota; Viridiplantae; Streptophyta; Magnoliopsida; Poales; Poaceae. The record is from RNAcentral.